UACGGAGGGUGCGAGCGUUAUCCGGAUUCACUGGGUUUAAAGGGUGCGUAGGUGGGCUGUUAAGUCAGUGGUGAAAUCUCCGGGCUCAACCCGGAAACUGCCGUUGAUACUAUCAGUCUUGAAUAUCGUUGAGGUAAGCGGAAUAUGUCAUGUAGCGGUGAAAUGCUUAGAUAUGACAUAGAACACCAAUUGCGAAGGCAGCUUGCUAACCGAAUAUUGACACUGAGGCACGAAAGCGUGGGGAUCAAACAGG
Molecule: ribosomal RNA, 253 nt
Filed under: uncultured bacterium
Lineage: Bacteria
Description: partial 16S ribosomal RNA
Rfam family: Bacterial small subunit ribosomal RNA
Source: RNAcentral